CUGAUGGAGGCUGAUGCUCAAAUUGAGGA
RNAcentral lists this non-coding RNA (29 nucleotides) under Rattus norvegicus (Norway rat). The record is from RNAcentral. Lineage: Eukaryota; Metazoa; Chordata; Mammalia; Rodentia; Muridae.